Molecule: long non-coding RNA, 410 nt
Organism: Oncorhynchus tshawytscha (Chinook salmon)
Lineage: Eukaryota; Metazoa; Chordata; Actinopteri; Salmoniformes; Salmonidae
Source: Ensembl
GUGCUGCUGGGUAGUUUGUACAUAUGGUGCUGCUAGGUAUUUGUACAUAUGGUGCUGCUGGGCAGUUUGUACAUAUGGUGCUGCUGGGUGGUUUGUACAUAUGGUGCUGCUGGGUAGUUUGUACAUAUGGUGCUGCUGGGUAGUUUGUACAUAUGGUGCUGCUGGGUGGGUUGUACAUAUGGUGCUGCUGGGUGGUUUGUACAUAUGGUGCUGCUGGGUGGUUUGUACAUAUGGUGCUGCUGGGUGGUUUGUACAUAUGGUGCUGCUGGGUGGUUUGUACAUAUGAUGCUGCUGGACAGUUUGUACAUAUGGUGCUGCUGGGUGGUUUGUACAUAUGGUGCUGCUUGGGGGUUUGUACAUAUGGUGCUGCUGGGCAGUUUGUACAUAUGGUGCUGCUGGGUAGUUUGUAC